AUGUCCCACCACACUGACCCGUCGCGCCGGCCGCAGUCCGGCCACAAGGUGGUGAUCGAGUCGCCGGCUAUGGAGCACCAGAUCUUCCUGAUUCGUCGCCACGUCGUGCUGCUGGUCUCCACGGAGGAGCGCCACGCCGCCAGCCCCAUGUCGGUAGGGAGUGCCUUCGACGCGCAGCUACGCAGGCCGGCGCACCUCCUGCGGGUCACGUGCCACGACCCGGAAGAUUUCCUGGUCCAUUUCGAGCUGCCGGCGCACCGGGACAACGCCGUGCACCUGGGCUCCAUCAACGUCGAUGGCGUCAUCUUCGAUAUCAAGCCGUGGCACGAGGACGACCACGCCGUGCACUAG
Molecule: ribosomal RNA, 351 nt
Filed under: Triticum aestivum (bread wheat)
Lineage: Eukaryota; Viridiplantae; Streptophyta; Magnoliopsida; Poales; Poaceae
Description: partial small subunit ribosomal RNA
Source: RNAcentral